GAUCCUGGCUCAGAACGAACGCUGGUGGCGUGUCUAUACAUGCAAGUCGAGCGAGGCAGCAAUGCCGAGCGGCGAACGGGUGAGUAACGCGUAAGCAAUCUGCCCCCAUACCAGGAAAUACCCGUGCCAACGCGCGGUUAAUGUCCAGGAGAGUGGCCUUCCGCAUGGAGGGUUGACUAGAGAUUUAUCGGUAUGGGAUGAGCUUGCGUCCGAUUAGCUAGUUGGCGGGGCAACGGCCCACCAAGGCGACGAUCGGUAGCCGGCCUGAGAGGGUGAUCGGCCACAUUGGGACUGAGAUACGGCCCAGACUCCUACGGGAGGCAGCAGUAGGGAAUAUUGCACAAUGGGGGAAACCCUGAUGCAGCAACGCCACGUGUGGGAAGAAGCAUUUCGGUGUGUAAACCACUGUCAUGAGGGAAUAAGGCCCUUAUUCGUAAGGGAUUGAAUGUACCUUGAGAGGAAGCACCGGCAAACUUCGUGCCAGCCGCUGC
This 491-nucleotide ribosomal RNA is filed under the name uncultured bacterium. RNAcentral's name for it is "bacterial SSU rRNA". It matches the Rfam family "Bacterial small subunit ribosomal RNA", at positions 15 to 518 of the family's 1533-position model. The record is from RNAcentral.